This 528-nucleotide ribosomal RNA is filed under the name uncultured Vexilliferidae. RNAcentral's name for it is "partial Bacterial small subunit ribosomal RNA". It matches the Rfam family "Bacterial small subunit ribosomal RNA", at positions 358 to 904 of the family's 1533-position model. The record is from RNAcentral. Lineage: Eukaryota; Discosea; Flabellinia; Dactylopodida; Vexilliferidae.
GGAAUAUUGGACAAUGGGGGCAACCCUGAUCCAGCCAUGCCGCGUGAGUGAUGAAGGCCCUAGGGUUGUAAAGCUCUUUCAGCGAGGAGGAUAAUGACGUUACUCGCAGAAGAAGCCCCGGCUAACUUCGUGCCAGCAGCCGCGGUAAUACGAAGGGGGCUAGCGUUGUUCGGAAUUACUGGGCGUAAAGCGCGCGUAGGCGGACUGGAAAGUUGGGGGUGAAAUCCCAGGGCUCAACCCUGGAACUGCCUCCAAAACUAUCAGUCUAGAGUUCGAGAGAGGUGAGUGGAAUUCCGAGUGUAGAGGUGAAAUUCGUAGAUAUUCGGAAGAACACCAGUGGCGAAGGCGGCUCACUGGCUCGAUACUGACGCUGAGGUGCGAAAGUGUGGGGAGCAAACAGGAUUAGAUACCCUGGUAGUCCACACCGUAAACGAUGAAUGCCAGUCGUCGGGUAGCAUGCUAUUCGGUGACACACCUAACGGAUUAAGCAUUCCGCCUGGGGAGUACGGUCGCAAGAUUAAAACUCAA